Molecule: long non-coding RNA, 3856 nt
Filed under: Fukomys damarensis (Damara mole-rat)
Lineage: Eukaryota; Metazoa; Chordata; Mammalia; Rodentia; Bathyergidae
Description: lncRNA (ENSFDAG00000028130.1)
Rfam family: tRNA (bases 2840-2911)
Source: RNAcentral
AUGGGCAUGCACUCUCUGCUGGACAUUAUUGCUGGCUUCCUAUACACCAUUUUAAUCUUGGCUGUCUUCUAUCCGUUUGUGGACCUGAUUGAUAACUUCAACCAAACACACGAAUAUGCGCCAUUGAUCAUCAUUGGGUUCCAUUUAGCUCUGGGGAUCUUUUCUUUCACUCUGGACACCUGGAGCACAUCCCGAGGGGACACAGCUGAGAUUCUAGGAAGUGGUGCUGGAAUCGCGUGUGGAUCUCAUGUUACUCACAGUAUGGGUCUGCUGUUAGAGCCUUCUCCAGACGUUUUACCUUUGCCUACCCCUCCCAUUACUCUGACUGUCUUUGCAAAAGCCAUAUUGCGGGUCGUCAUAGGAAUGGGAGUUGUACUAAUAGUCAGAAAUGCAAUGAAAAAGAUCACCAUUCCUUUGGCCUGUAAAAUCUUUAAAAUACCAUGUGAUGAUAUUCGAAAAGCAAGACAGCACAUGGAAGUUGAACUUCCUUAUCGAUAUAUUACCUAUGGAAUGGUUGGUUUCUCUAUCACAUUUUUUGUUCCCUACAUAUUUUUGCUUAUUGGUAUCUCUUGAUAGGGAAAUACUCUUUAUAAUAAAGGAGAGUAUCAGUUACUGACAUCUAAAAAUAUACUGUAAGUAAAAGGUCAGAGUUAGGUUUUGGCAAGAAUUUAUAUUAAAUAAUUGGUUAAGUAAAUUCUUAAAGAGUCAGUGCAUUUUAUCAUUGCACAUCCAGAUACUGUUUUAGGUGGGCUGAUCUAUUUAACACUGAGAAAAAGCUAAAAGUUUUCAUUUAGAAUGUGCAUAUGUUUGGAGAGUUUUGUGCUUUUAUGGAUUCAAGAUAUGUAUAUAUAAUAUAUAUUAAGGUACAUAAUAUGCAAUCAUAUCUAAUAUAUGUUAUAUAUAAAAUAAUAUACCUACCUAAGUUUUUUAAACAGUAGGGUACGUAUUAUAAAAUCAAGAAUAAUAUGCAAACAAUUGCGCCUGUGUAUUUGUAAUUAAUACAGGUAUGUUAUUACUAAUGAAUAAUGUUUAACAUUUAUUUACUACGGGAGCCAUUUCCUAACUGAUUUGCAUAAUUACUAGACCAGAAUUCAUAUGCUACCACAUACUGAUUUACUGCCUCUUUUUACACUGCCACCAUCUUUCAUGUUACCCAUGAGGUUGAACAUGGGGAGCAUUUUUAAUGGACCAAACUUUAGGAAAAAUUUGUUUUUGGAUUCCUUGUUUUUUUUUAAAGUUCUGUACACUGUGUUGAAUGUACUUCUCUCGCAACUGUUUUGGGCAUCAGUUUAAUAAAUCAGGUACUGAAUUUUACUGCUUGCUAAUUGUGCCUUUCUGUUGCGACUUAAACACCAUGUAUACUGUGAUAUAAAAGUAAGACUCUAAGUUGCAUAUACCUAGGCAAAUAUUUUAAAAAUAUAUGUCAAACUAACAGGGAUUGAAGUAAACCACCAGUAUGUAACUCUUCAGUCUUUCUUUAGAAAGAAAUUGAACUGGGCUAAAAUUUCUCACUAAUUUAUUGGAAAGCUAAAUAGAUAAAAAUUUUUGUAGGUAUUUUUCUGUGUACUUUAAGUUUAGGAAUAAGAUGUAUUUUUGUACAUUGUCUUGAUUGUUUAUACUACAAGUAGAUGUUUCCAGUGCAUGGAAAGGUAGUUGGAGUUUAUAGAUGGGACAGUGUACAUGCCUCCUAUGUAAACAGACUGUUUCUCUAAAUUAUUUGGAAAGGAUUGGAUUUCCCACAAUUAACUUUUAAUACCUACUUACUAGCUAUAAAAGAUAAAUUAUUAAAAAAUCUAAAAGUAGUAUUAGUAGUUUAGAUCCUAUUUUUCUCUGAUUUUUAUUUUCACAGUGGAAAAUGAGUAUAGUGUGUAUAGUAUUAAACUGUUAUUUUUUCUAUGUGUGCCUUUAUAUUUGAAGUGUGACUGUAAUUAGUUUAAGAUUAAAUUUAUUUGCAGUAAAAUUUUCAUAAGAAGAAAAUUGCCAGGUGAGGUGGCACAGGCCUGUAAUCCCAGCACUCAGGAGGCUAAGGCUGGAGGAUCGCCCUGAGUUCAAGGCCAGCCUCCUCUACAUAGUGACUUCAAGAUCAGCCCGAAUUACUGAAUGAAAUAGUGAGACCCUGUCUCAAAAAAAGAAAAGUUUCCACCAUAAAUGAAUAUCAAGUAUGAGGUUACUGAUUUUUGUGCAAUAUCUACAUGCUUAUCCAGAAGUAGCAAUUAAAAUGUUUCUAUUUUGGACAGCAUAACUAUUUGAGCUCAUAUUUUUAUAAUCCUGAUUAAGAAUUUAUGGGCAUGGUAAUUUUUACCAAAACUGAAUCUGAUAAUUUUAAGUAAAGCAACUGAAUUUGGGCUGUUUACUUAUGAGUUGAAAAGACACCAGGGCACCUAGAAACUUGUUGGUACAUUGGAAAAUGUGAGAAGAGCUUUUUGUUCAAAAUGUGUAUGUAGUUAAUGAAUUGAAUUUUAAGAAUUGUUUCCCAAAAUUUGGGUCUGUGCUAGCCUAUUGAUUUUUGUCUAGGUUAAAAAAGUACUUGAAAAUAUUAUUUCUUGGUGUUUUGUUACUUCCUGUCCUAUGACAGACAGUUCUAUGCUAAAUGUAUUUUAAAAUAAAAGCCAAAUUCAAGAUUGAAGUGUUUUUGUUUUGUCUUUGUAUUUGUCUCUAAAUUAUCUAGUAGAAAGUUCUAAAAUCCAAGAUGCUUGUCCUAUCAGGCUUCCUCUGAACCAUUUUAUUCAAAUCAUUAGAGUACUGUUUUUAAUAAUAGAAGAUACUGAAUUUUUUUAAUUUUUAAAAAAUUUUUUGCGGUACUGUUGAAGAAAUUGUUUAAGAUUCAGCUUGAAGGCCUGGGGAUUUAGCUCAGUGGUGCAGCAUUUGCCUGGCAAACACAAGGUCCUGAAUUCAAUUCCUGGUAUCCCUGAGUUUUUGCUCCAGUUAUGAUCAUUUUUAUCCCUGAAUACACUGCCUUUAGUGAAAAGUUUUGUAAUAUUUCUUUCUUUUGGCGGGGGGUACUGGGGAUCGAACUCUGUACCUUGUGCUUAUGAGGCAGGCGGCAGAACCACUGAGCUAAAUCCCCAGCCCUGUAAUAUUUCUUAUAUAUAGAAAAAAGUUUUGAGUUUCAGACCAGCCUGAACUACAUAGUGAGAUCCUGUAUCAGAAAACCAAAACAAACAUUUUUUUAACUUUUUCUGCAAAUAUUUAAAGAUUAAUAGUUUCGAUUUUUGCAAAGUUUUGUAUGUAAUUAUUAUACCCUGUGGUAUAGAGUAGGAUUUGUAUCCAAGUUAGUUUUGAGAUUUUUUUUUUUCCCAAAACAGGAUGUUACUAGGUAGCCCAGACUGGCCUUAAACUUGUGAUCUUCCUGCCUCAACUCUCAAGUUUUGGUGGAUAGUAUUAUUUUUGCUCAUUUCUGAAUGAAAUUCAGUAACAGUUGAUAUAAAUUAAGAAACUGGAAGCUGGGUGCAGUGGUACAAGCCUGUAAUCCCCAAACUCUGGGAGGCUGCAGCAGGAGGGUUGUAAAUUCCAACCCAGCCUGGGCAACUAGGUGGGGCCAGGAGGAUCACUGUGAGUUCAAAGCCAACCUGGGCUAUGUAGUUAGACCCUGUCUCAACCCCCCACACACAAAACAAACAAUUGUUUCUUAGCAGUACAGUCCCCAAAAUGUUACUUAUUCAAUAUCAUGGGGUAAAAUUAUAAAGUUAACAUAUAACCUGAUUUAUAGUUAUUAACGGAUUAUAAACUGAAUCCUAACAUUUACAUGUGAAAAGUUUUCUGCCUUUUAUAAAAGUUAUUUUUCUUUUUCUACACUGAGCUAUAUCCUUAGCACUGCUCACUUAGCUCAUGGAUGAAAUCCACCCACUUGAAAGAG